This 497-nucleotide ribosomal RNA is filed under the name uncultured bacterium. Its description in RNAcentral is "partial 16S ribosomal RNA". It matches the Rfam family "Bacterial small subunit ribosomal RNA", at positions 28 to 507 of the family's 1533-position model. The record is from RNAcentral.
GACGAACGCUGGCGGCGUGCCUAAUACAUGCAAGUAGAACGCUGAAGCUUGGUGCUUGCCCCGAGCGGAUGAGUUGCGAACGGGUGAGUAACGCGUAGGUAACCUGCCUGGUAGCGGGGGAUAACUAUUGGAAACGAUAGCUAAUACCGCAUAAGAGUAGAUGUUGCAUGACAUUUGCUUAAAAGGUGCAAUUGCAUCACUACCAGAUGGACCCGCGUUGUAUUAGCUAGUUGGUGAGGUAACGGCUCACCAAGGCAACGAUACAUAGCCGACCUGAGAGGGUGAUCGGCCAAACUGGGACUGAGACACGGCCCAGACUUCUACGGGAGGCAGCAGGAGGGAAUCUUCGGCAAUGGACGGAAGUCUGACCGAGCAACGCCGGGGGAGUGAAGAAGGGUGUCGGAUCGUAAAGAUCCGUUGUAAGAGAAGAAAGAGUGUGAGAGUGGAAAGUUCACACUGUGACGGUAUCUUACCAGAAAGGGACGGCUAACUACGUG